RNAcentral lists this small RNA (33 nucleotides) under Arabidopsis thaliana (thale cress). RNAcentral's name for it is "ATSL005670". Lineage: Eukaryota; Viridiplantae; Streptophyta; Magnoliopsida; Brassicales; Brassicaceae. The record is from RNAcentral.
AAACUCAAAACCAAAAAAAAAUGGAAAAAAAAA